This 53-nucleotide transfer RNA is filed under the name Linguatula arctica. Its description in RNAcentral is "tRNA-Ser". Lineage: Eukaryota; Metazoa; Arthropoda; Ichthyostraca; Porocephalida; Linguatulidae. The record is from RNAcentral.
GGAAUAUCUUUAGGACUUCUAAUCCUUCACAAGUGAUCUUUCAUUAUAUUCCU